GCACUUGAGAAUUUUCCUGAAAACUUUUAGAGAGAAGAUUCUUAUCGUUUCUGUUGAAACAGUUUUUCUUUAUUUUCUUCGAGAACUGUCUAGGCUUGUUUUCUUUUUUUUUUUUUAACUCCUUAAAAACUCACGAUUUUCUUGUUAUUGUGGUAGCCCGUCAUGGUGUUGUCCACUUUUGUGAAUGGCACCUGAGGUUGCCACCAGAAUGUGAAAAGAUCUCGACAGACUUGAAAUGCAAAUUCUUUCGUUUUUUUUUUUUGCUAUAGUCGACCCUCUUUUGUGAGUGGAUCUUCUCUCUUUUUGGUGAUGUUCUCUUUUUAGUGUGUCGACUGUUAUCUCUCUACGGCCUCUCGUGUUGGUAAACGUAACGAGAAAUGGGUGGAAGAAAAUAAAUGAAGCUCAUUAACAGAUACGCGAGUUUUAACUCUCAGAUAAGAAUCUCGGUGGGUGUUCGAAUAAACGAUGGACAACUAGUCGUACCUCGUCACUGAUGGAUUGUUAACACAGCGGAGACGUGAUUGACAUCACCACGUGGUCCAGUCGAACAUUCGAAAAUCUUGAAAGUCAUUCAAUGAAUUAUUGAAACUUACGUGCCUCGGGUAUUUGGAAAGAGAAAAAAAAAGGUUUUUUGUCCAAGCAGAUGAUCACAGCCUUAAAGAAGAUGACUAAAGCCUUAAAAAAUCGUUAAGACUCUAUAUGACACACUAAGCAAUAACUUGCGUACGUUGUUCGUAGCUCGUAAAAAGGGGCCGUGUGUCGUCUGCUGUUCGUGCACGAGAAGAAGACAAACAGGCAUACGAGACGAUGUCCAGGAAACACCCUGUUCAACUGGAAAAGAAGAAAACAUUCCCAGCAGUUGUUGCAAGAGUAAAAGAAGAUGGGCUACAGAUGAUGUGAGUAUAUAUUUUGUUCCCUGGCCUCUUUGGGGUUUGCAGCUGUGUGUGUAAUGGACAUUGGGAUAUCACACAGCAUCGCCCUUGAUGCGUCUCGAAAUCCAAUCAGGAUCAUGUAUAGAAGGCGCAAUAUGUUUUCAUUUGCAUAUUCAAUAGAAAAUAUUGAAGUCUAGGGCGGUGACGCAAUACACUCGUGACUCAUAUCACACUUAA
This is a long non-coding RNA of Daphnia magna, 1109 nucleotides long. RefSeq lists it as uncharacterized. The transcript has 2 exons. Lineage: Eukaryota; Metazoa; Arthropoda; Branchiopoda; Diplostraca; Daphniidae. The record is from RefSeq and is a predicted model, not a curated record.